CUGUCUUGCUGGCUCCCGACCCUGGAUUCCGUAUCUCACUCCUGGUUUUGCAUCCUUUGGCCUUUGUGAUGGAACCUGGUCACUUGGCUUGGAAUAUGGCCUUCUCCUUCCUGACGAUUGAUCUCAGCUCAAAUCACUGGCCUUUCUACUUCAGACUAAAUCAGGGAAGAGUGGUCUGUGUCUUCAAAGUCACCAUGUUCCGGGCUCCUGAUCUGUAAGAGAGAAGUCAUCCAUCCACAGGGAGCCAUGGAGGAGUGGUUUCUUGAGCAUGAGUUAUCCCGGGGACCACCACCUUUGAUGGGGGCACCACUUGCUUCACUGGAAUGUCUGGUUCUGGUCACUGGGGAUUCAAAGCAGAGGCCAAUGUGACCCCUUCCCGCCCAGAGGAGUUCCCAUUCCAAGAGGAGACAUGAGUGGCGUCCUCUCCAAUCACGGACACAGAGAAAAUAAAAGCCAUCAAAAGAACUCCCCCAGCUUCUCUCGAUUAGCCUUGCUCUCUUGCUUCUCUUUCCCUGAUGACCAGUGGAGGAAGCCACCUGCCACUGAUGCAUGGCACAUCGCCACCUGAGCAUGGGCUCCAUUACCCUCCACCCUCCAGCUCCUCUAGAGCCUUCUACUGCCUUGGCCAGUUUUUCUGCUCUCCUGGAGGCUUCCCUUGGCUCUUAGCAUGCUGUAGUGCCUUCAGUCUGAAAAAUCCCAGGAAGCCACCUCCUCCCUCUAGCUGCCACCCUCUUGGUGCUUUCUCUGCAUUUCACUUUUAUUUGGCUUCUGACCCUAGCACUCCCCUGGAGGAGCUUUCGUUAAGAUGACCAGUGGCCUCCAUCUGAUUGCUAGGGCCUCUCGCUGGCAUUUCAGACCUGGUGCACUCAAACUAAACUCUUCCCCCACCGACACUUGCUUCUCAUCCGGGCUUCCCCCAGCUCGGGAAGUGGAGC
Molecule: long non-coding RNA, 935 nt
Organism: Canis lupus familiaris (dog)
Lineage: Eukaryota; Metazoa; Chordata; Mammalia; Carnivora; Canidae
Exons: 4
Source: RefSeq, a predicted model, not a curated record